This 93-nucleotide signal recognition particle RNA is filed under the name Candidatus Babelota bacterium. RNAcentral describes it as "signal recognition particle sRNA small type". It matches the Rfam family "Bacterial small signal recognition particle RNA". From Rfam's summary of the family: The signal recognition particle (SRP) is a universally conserved ribonucleoprotein involved in the co-translational targeting of proteins to membranes. The record is from RNAcentral.
GCUUGGGAAGUUUGUAAAAGGUAGCUGGAGAAUCUGUCAGGUCCGAAAGGAAGCAGCAGGGUCAGUUAACUUUGUACAAGCUUCCCACUCUUG